This 252-nucleotide ribosomal RNA is filed under the name uncultured bacterium. RNAcentral describes it as "partial 16S ribosomal RNA". It matches the Rfam family "Bacterial small subunit ribosomal RNA", at positions 524 to 776 of the family's 1533-position model. The record is from RNAcentral.
UACGUAGGUCCCGAGCGUUGUCCGGAUUUAUUGGGCGUAAAGCGAGCGCAGGUGGUUUAUUAAGUCUGGUGUAAAAGGCAGUGGCUCAACCCUUGUAUGCAUUGGAAACUGGUAGACUUGAGUGCAGGAGAGGAGAGUGGAAUUCCAUGUGUAGCGGUGAAAUGCGUAGAUAUAUGGAGGAACACCGGUGGCGAAAGCGGCUCUCUGGCCCGUAACUGACACUGAGGCUCGAAAGCGUGGGGAGCAAACAGG